This 87-nucleotide transfer RNA is filed under the name Phycisphaera sp. TMED9. RNAcentral's name for it is "tRNA-Ser". It matches the Rfam family "tRNA". Rfam says of the family: Transfer RNA (tRNA) molecules are approximately 80 nucleotides in length. The record is from RNAcentral. Lineage: Bacteria; Pseudomonadati; Planctomycetota; Phycisphaerae; Phycisphaerales; Phycisphaeraceae. RNAcentral also lists the same sequence under 2 other names.
GGAGAGGUGGCAGAGCGGUUGAAUGCGCUAGUCUCGAAAACUAGUAUGGCCUCCGGGUCAUCGUGGGUUCGAAUCCCACCCUCUCCG